RNAcentral lists this ribosomal RNA (254 nucleotides) under uncultured bacterium. Its description in RNAcentral is "partial 16S ribosomal RNA". It matches the Rfam family "Bacterial small subunit ribosomal RNA", at positions 524 to 776 of the family's 1533-position model. The record is from RNAcentral.
UACGUAGGGGCCUAGCGUUGUCCGGAAUCAUUGGGCGUAAAGAGCUCGUAGGCGGUUCGGCAAGUCACGUGUGAAAUCUCCACGCUUAACGUGGAGGCGCCACGUGAAACUGCCGUGACUCGAGUCCGGUAGGGGAGUGUGGAAUUCCCGGUGUAGCGGUGAAAUGCGCAGAUAUCGGGAGGAACACCAAUUGCGAAGGCAGCUCGCCGGGACGUCACUGACGCUGAGACGCGAAAGCGUGGGGAGCAAACAGG